AAAGCAGCGGAUUCCUCAGCAUAACUUCCUCUGUUCCUUGAAGUUUAGCCACUGGUCUAAUCUCUGAAAGUUUUUCCUGGCUUGCAUUGACUUGCUGCUCAGACAAUGAGCACUUUUUUAACCUGUCAGGAGCUGAAUUGCCUGGCCUGCCGUGGGGCUGACAGUGUGCCGCUGUUUCUGAGACUACUCUGUUCCUGAGCUGCAGCGCUGACACAAAUCUGUACAAGGGCUGAUUUGUCUGAGGGAGAUGGAAAAGACCUGCUGGGUUUCAGGGAGGGAGGCAGGCAAGCCAGAAGCAGACAAAGCAUGCUGCAAAUUGCCUGCUCAUCUGUGUCCUUCACUGCCUGGAUUGCUUCAUGGUGUUUACAUAGCAAAGCAAACUCUACAACAUCCCAGGGGCCCAAUGCUGCUGCCCCGGAAUACCGGAUAUCUUUGUAAUGCUCAGGACGAACCCGCAACAUCAAAUGAUCCCCCUCUUAUGGAACUUGGUACAUCAAGUCCUACAACAGACCCACUGGGGAAAUAUCAUGAUCCAGGUCUGUUUUUUAAGUUGUUGCUUCCUUCAAAUCCUGAGUCAGCUCUUCCCUCAGGUGUACACAUCUGAGUCUUGGGAAUAUAUUAUUCUACUUUUGUGCUGUUGUUUUCCAGCCAAAGACUCUCCUUAGAAAAAUUGUGAGCACAAACCAAUUUAACAGCAAUAUAAGCCUGUGAUUGUUUUAAACAAGUUUCCACCUUUUUCUACAGAAGUAGAAGCUGAAGGACAAAGAAUAUUUCAGACAUCUCAAAUAACACAGCCUAAAUAAUUGUCUGUCAAGGGACAGGAAAUGUAUCAUUUAAUAUAAAAUGCCAGGCAUUUUCCAUGAUCAGUGGCUAGCUAUUCUGUGCCAAGAAAAGAACACUAAUGAGGAAGAUAACAGCAGAAAAGGUCUGGUGGACCUGUGAAGUGUCUCAAUUUUUUCUGUGACACGUCUCUGUGCAGCACCUGUUUCUGGGUGUGUCUCAAAUGCCACGCUGCUCCCUCUGGGCUUCCUGGAGUGACUACUUUCUCAAGCCCACCUGUGCUCUUGACACCACAGCUACAGCCUGCAUGACUCUUCCUAGUUGCAGGCUCAGAAUGCUAAUGCUUUCUCAAAUCCUACUUUUGUGGGGCUUUGGGUGGUGGUGGUGGUCUCCACAGCAGCUGCUGGGGUAGUGUCAGGAGCUGAAGUGCCAAAGAUUUCACCUGCUCUCCCUAUUUCCUCCUCCUGUGGUCUCUCUGCUUCUUAUACUGAGGUAGGAAAGCCAGUUUUAGCUUCAUUGCACGUGGCUGUGCAGUUUUCUCAAAUUUCUAAUUUUUAUUAUUUUCCUUUUGGCAGAAAUAAGUCAACCAGGUCGAGACGGUAAGUUGACAACUUCAACAUAUUGUACUUUUGUUAAAUAUUUUUUUCUUUACCUAAGUUUUGAAUUUUUAACUUCUUUUACUGCAGUUGAUUAUAGAAUACAAAAGCUAUGUACGGGACUUGUCAUUAGCCUGAAAAACUCUGGUUUCAUAUAAUAGUAUUGAAGACACUUCUUAAUGGCAAGUCAUAGUAUUUCUCUGCUGAUUUAAGUAAUGACAGUAUUCA
This 1604-nucleotide long non-coding RNA is filed under the name Zonotrichia albicollis (white-throated sparrow). RNAcentral's name for it is "lncRNA (ENSZALG00000016230.1)". The record is from RNAcentral. Lineage: Eukaryota; Metazoa; Chordata; Aves; Passeriformes; Passerellidae.